Lutra lutra (Eurasian river otter) is the source of this 2425-nucleotide long non-coding RNA. RefSeq lists it as uncharacterized. The transcript is spliced from 3 exons. The record is from RefSeq and is a predicted model, not a curated record. Lineage: Eukaryota; Metazoa; Chordata; Mammalia; Carnivora; Mustelidae.
GAAGGCAGAUGCUCAACCAACUGAUCCACCCAGGCACCCCUCCCAGCUCUAGUCCUGAUCCACUAUCCUCUAUCCAUAACCGGGGCCCGAAUACGGUGGGCCUGAGGAUGCAGGAAGAUGGCGAUUUAUAGGCCCAGAGAUCUGGCUUUCUUCCACGUGUGCUCAGCAGUAAUCUCCAGCCAAACGAUGUCCUGCAGAAGGAUACUGAGAAAACUUGUGGACAAUCCUUUUUAGCAGCUAGAAGCCUGCAGCUAACCAGAAGUAGAACAGAGAACAUCUGAAACUUGCCCCUUUCUGUAGAAAAUCGAGAGUAGGUCUCCUGCUGAGCUGGUACUCAUGAUACACUGAAAUAGGGAGGGUGGGGCGUAGGGAGCAGGGGUACAGAACACCAUCAGAGCCCCAGUUACCAAGUGCCUGCGAUGAGCAAGACAUGAACACUACAGUUUGGAGCCCUAAGAACCGCCAUGCCAAGUUCUAAUUCUUCCACCACCUAAGAGGAAUCAAGUGAUACAACCACUAAAAGAGAUAGGGAGGGGAAAAAAGGACUUUCAAAAACUCCUUCCCUCUUCAACCUGUGGCUAUGCAUUUUUAAGACUCAUGAUAUAUUUUUCCUGUUUUAUUUUUUUCCAUUCUGACUUUUGAAUAAACAUCAGAAGCUUGGAAACAUAGCCAACCUACUUAGAAAAUGUUUACAGCUAUGUUAGUUCUUCAGGACAAUCGAGAAAAUCCAAAAUCAGAACCAAAUUCUGUGUUUAGGAACAGUCACCACCAAAGGAAGUCUCCCGAAACAAAAUGGACUUCAGAUUCUAAAGUAAAACGAUUCAUUCAUGAUAGGAUUUAGGGGUGGCUAGGGAAUAUACAGGGCAGUGAGAAAAGGGUAUUUGAUACAAGUCAUUCUUUAUCAGUUGAAAAUGACCAGAAAUCUCUGGUAUCUUUUUGCAGUGAGGAUAGGAAAGAAAUGCCAUGCACAGUUCAUUCAAAGAAGCUACUAGAGCAUGCUCCAAUUUAGGGAGCAAGAUAUUACAAUGAAAGGAACAAUGGAACCACCACAUAUUUAAUGACAAACGACAUAGCAUAAAUGAUCAGGGCAGUAGGCUUGUAACGAGACUAGUCACAGCUUCCCCAAGCCUGUCUCCUCUUUCCAAAGAGAGAUUUGAGAGAGAAAUUCUGAGGAUCCUUCUGAUUCCAACAUUGGUGCCAUAGAGAAAGAGCUCAGGGAGCAGAGGGCACUGGACCAGAGCCGAAGAAAUGCCUUUCUAGGUGAGAGAAGGCCCUGCACAUCCCCUGGGGUACCCAAGCUGAUGCGUCUCUGAAACCCUCUCUUAUGUAGAAGGUUGCCUCUGAACGCUCCUGGCUCCCUUUCAAUAAGUCCUUUAAAAAGGAAAUGUAUGCAACAGUAUCAGGGAACCUCCCCACCAUGAUCCCAUGGGACCAGCUCUCUAUCACACAUGUAGGGUUCUCUAUUCCAGAAGCGACACAGAUAGGAACAAUGCACAGCACUCCAGCAGGUGUCUGCCAUGUACCUCCAUCCAGCUUCAGGGCGUCGGCUGGCAUCUUCCUUUCGCCAUGUGAUCCCCAUGCCUCCCCCAUCAGGCUGCUCGCUGGCCUCCUGGCUACCAACUGCUUGGCCCCUUGUUCACUGCCAAGCUCCAACCUCACCACCUUUAUAGGAGGUCUCCUCUGAAUGUGUGUGUAUCAAACAGGUAUGCUGUGUCUUAUUCCACAAAGGAUCUGACAAAGCUCAUCAAGACAGAUGCGACAGGAGAACCCUAAAAUGUAACUACUUUAGGGCUGCCUUUUCUGUACAACUCCAUUCACCUUAGAACCUUCUUUCCCCAGCCUGUAGUGCACAUGUAUUGAUAUGCUUCAGAGAAGGCCAUGAUGGAAUCACUAACUUCGUGGACUCCUCUGACUCUCUAGGUCCCCAGGUGGCAUCCAGCACUGGUCACUGCAUAUGGAUAUGCUCAGUAAUUGCUUGUUAUUCCUGAAGAAAGAGCUCACUGCUGGCCCCUCAGUAGCUAGGUUGUGACUGGGAUAUUCUUGUCUACCUUACUUCCCAUCCCAUGAGAAAAGAGACAACUGUGAGCCAUUCCUUCUCUUCCCUGCCCUCUGCAAUGCACAUUCUAGGGGUUGACCAGGUGUGGUUUUAGCCAAGGAAUGAAACCAAACCAACUGGUCCGAGGGAGACCCUGGGCCACGUGUACAGGUUGCUAAGGAGACAAUCACAGACAGCAUCUUACUGCCCCAAGCUACCACCGGCCCAUCCAGGCCAGGGUCAGUGUGACACUGGAAGCACAGCCCUCUCCAGUGCUCAGACUGACCACCUCUUCUUAUGAUUUGCCACUGAAGGGCCUCAGAGAACUCGAGAGAAGACCCGAAGUUAGGCAAACAUACACCGGCCUCCCAAGUAUCCCAUCAGUCCAUA